GACGCCCCAUCCCGCGGCCCGCCAAGCGAGGAGGAAACCGACGGUCCGAGAGGGCGUGUGGACGAGGUCUCACGGCCACCGAGUCGCAGAGCUCUGUUCGAACCAGGAAUUAACACUGCUAGACUUGGACUAGAGUGAUUCAAGAUCACAUAUGAUACAGUUCCUCUUGGGUUGAUCAGCUUCUCCACAAGAAUCCUUCAGUCUCCUCCAAAGAAUGAACAUAAACUUAGUUGCCAGAUUUCAGGAAGCCAAGAGGUAAGAGUUUCCGUUGGAAAAGGGACAGG
Long non-coding RNA from Lontra canadensis (Northern American river otter), 284 nucleotides. RefSeq lists it as uncharacterized. The transcript has 3 exons. The record is from RefSeq and is a predicted model, not a curated record. Lineage: Eukaryota; Metazoa; Chordata; Mammalia; Carnivora; Mustelidae.